UAGGGAAUAUUAGAAAUGGACGAAAGUCUGAUCUAGCAACACCGCGUGUGCGAAGAAGGCCUUCGGGUUGUAAAGCUCUGUCAGGAGGGACGAAGCCACUCAGGUGAAUAGCCGAGAGGGUGACGGUACCUCCAGAGGAAGCCUCGGCUAACUACGUGCCAGCAGCCGCGGUAAAACGUAGGAGGCGAGCGUUAUCCGGAUUUACUGGGCGUAAAGGGUGCGUAGGCGGUGGUGUAAGUCGAACGUGAAAUUCCGGAGCUCAACUUCGGAACGGCGUACGAAACUGCAUCACUUGAGGAAUGGCGGAGAAAAUGGAAUUCCAUAUGUAGCGGUGAAAUGCGUAGAUAUAUGGAAGAACACCUGUGGCGAAAGCGGUUUUCUAGCCUUCUCCUGACGCUGAGGCACGAAAGCAAGGGGAGCAAACA
This 425-nucleotide ribosomal RNA is filed under the name uncultured prokaryote. RNAcentral's name for it is "bacterial SSU rRNA". It matches the Rfam family "Bacterial small subunit ribosomal RNA", at positions 355 to 774 of the family's 1533-position model. The record is from RNAcentral.